RNAcentral lists this unclassified non-coding RNA (744 nucleotides) under Hevea brasiliensis (rubber tree). Lineage: Eukaryota; Viridiplantae; Streptophyta; Magnoliopsida; Malpighiales; Euphorbiaceae. The record is from RNAcentral.
GUGAAUUUAGUAAUUUAUUAAUACUCUCUUUGAUGUUAAUGAUAAAAAUAAAUAUACAAGUAUAUAAAUAAAACUCUAAAUCUGAUAGUGGCUUUAAUUUGUUCUGAAUGUUCGGUUUUGUUUUGUUGUGUUUAAAAACCUUAACCUAAGUUGAAUUGCAUUGCUAAUGGUCCAAAAGGAAUGAUUUGAGCAGUUUGUUUCUGAACUCUGUAGGUUACUUUACCUAAUUAUAAAAUUUUGAAGAGAGGGAGAGACCCUUUGUUGUCAUGUGACAUGAACAAACGUGUAUAAGAAUAGCAUGUACCCUUCUGGAAGUAAUUAGGUGCAAAAUGUAGUAUACCACUGAAUGCUGACAAUAAUCCAAUAAUUUUGGAACCUAUUUCUGCUAAACUUCUGGCUUUAAGAGCUUAAAGUCCAUAUAUUAGAAAAUAAUUGGGCAGAGUAUCAAUAAAUUUUUUUGUUUUGAAUCGAAAGAAUUUGUGUGCUUAAUCUCUUUUUAAGUUUAUUAAAGUGUGUAGAGGAGAAUAGUUUAUGUCUCCCAAGAGAGUUCGAAGUAUUGUUUAACUGAAUGCCAUGUUUGAAACAAAAUGUCUCUCUGCAAUAGCCUUUUUCUCUGCUACUUAACAAGUCAUAUACAUGAAUCAAACUAGAGAUAAUGUAAGGAUGUGUGCCUUAUUCUUCUGUUUACAACUCCUGAAAAUGAAUAGUGGGCAAGCUCCUAACUUAUGAGGGUUUAAGGUAGGC